AUAAGAAGCAAUUUGCAUUUAGUUUCGACCUAAAAGAAAGAGUAUAUAAAUACUCCUUAUUUA
RNAcentral lists this transfer RNA (63 nucleotides) under Yoma algina. RNAcentral's name for it is "tRNA-Arg". Lineage: Eukaryota; Metazoa; Arthropoda; Insecta; Lepidoptera; Nymphalidae. The record is from RNAcentral. RNAcentral also lists the same sequence under 1 other name.